GAUGAACGCUGGCGGCGUGCCUAAUACAUGCAAGUCGAGCGAACAGACGAGGAGCUUGCUCCUCUGACGUUAGCGGCGGACGGGUGAGUAACACGUGGAUAACCUACCUAUAAGACUGGGAUAACUUCGGGAAACCGGAGCUAAUACCGGAUAAUAUAUUGAACCGCAUGGUUCAAUAGUGAAAGACGGUUUUGCUGUCACUUAUAGAUGGAUCCGCGCCGCAUUAGCUAGUUGGUAAGGUAACGGCUUACCAAGGCAACGAUGCGUAGCCGACCUGAGAGGGGGAUCGGCCAAAAUGGAACUGAGACACGGUCCAGAAUCCGAAGGGAGGCAGGAGGAGGGAAACUUCCGGAAAGGGGGAAAGCCUGAAGGAGCAACGCCGCGUGAGUGAUGAAGGUCUUCGGAUCGUAAAACUCUGUUAUUAGGGAAGAACAAAUGUGUAAGUAACUAUGCACGUCUUGACGGUACCUAAUCAGAAAGCCACGGCUAACUACGUG
RNAcentral lists this ribosomal RNA (497 nucleotides) under uncultured bacterium. RNAcentral's name for it is "partial 16S ribosomal RNA". It matches the Rfam family "Bacterial small subunit ribosomal RNA", at positions 28 to 507 of the family's 1533-position model. The record is from RNAcentral.